CCCUGCCCGGCCGUGGCGCGGCGGGGUCCCGGGAGAGCGCGGCACCGCGGGGAUCCGCUCCUUUCCGGUGGCCACGUGUGCGCGCGUGUGAAACUUAGCAGCCCCUCGUCCCGCUGUUAAGAGGGGAGGGGACGAGAGAGAAGGAAGAGCCGCGCGUGAGGCGGCGGCUCAGCCCCGCUGUGCGCGGGCACUGGGGAGGCGGCGGGUGCCGCUGCGGAGCUCUCCCAGCUCAGACAGCCGCGGGACCGAACGGGCAGGAGACACACGGAGCAGACACACGGCCGGGAGGAGACGGGGUCCCCCACCCCCGGCACUGCGCGCUAGGAGCUGCCCGUGCAGCCCCGGGGCUCCUCCGCGCUCCUGCGCGGUGCGGAACCGAGCGCGCAGGCGGCGGCUGCUGCUGCUGCAGGUGAAGCCCUCUCUCUCCGUUUACUUUUCCCAAGAGGGAGAAGAAGGCAGCAGGAGGGGGACGCGGCGCCGUGCGGGGCGGGCAGGCCAAUCAGCGCCGCUGUAACGCAGGGAUCGCUGCAGGACGCGCCGGGUUUUCCUCCCAUCUUCUGCCGCCGGGGCUGAAUCGGGACCGCACGGACCGGCGGAGCCGCACCGGGCUGCAGGACUUCCUCACCCGCCGCUUCUCCGACAGCGAAUCCCUAUACUUCUCCUAUUUUUUUUUUCCCCUCUUUUUAAUACUCUGAAAUCGUCCACGAGAGACAUUUCGUGUCUCCCUUCUUUCCCCACGCACUUAACACCUCCAGCGGCAUCACCCCGCAGGAUCCCCGCUUUCUCCCGGGGAGGCUGAGCCGAACGGCGAGGAGCCGGGCGCGGAGCCGCUCCAUGCCGCGGGCCGUGUGCCGGCGAUGCCCGGGCGCUGAGGCCGGAGCUCCCCGUUGACGGGAGGCGGCCGAGCGCGGGGUGCUUCCAGCAGCGCGGAGCGGCCGCAGGAUGAAUAAGAGAUACUUACAGAAAGCAACAAAAGGGAAGCUGCUAAUAAUAAUAUUUGUUGUAACGCUGUGGGGGAAAUUAGCAUCUGGAGCAAAUCAUCAUAAAGCUCACCAUGUUAAAACUGGGACCUGUGAAGUGGUGGCACUCCACAGAUGUUGCAAUAAGAACAAGAUAGAAGAAAGAUCACAGACAGUGAAGUGCUCCUGCUUCCCUGGGCAGGUAGCAGGUACCACCCGGGCAGCUCCUUCUUGUGUUGAUGCUUCAAUAGUGGAGCAGAAAUGGUGGUGCCACAUGCAACCAUGUCUUGAAGGGGAGGAAUGUAAAGUUCUUCCAGAUCGUAAGGGAUGGAGCUGUUCCUCUGGGAAUAAAGUGAAAACGACUAGGUUGUCUUAUAUUCCCUCAGCUGUGGCAGUAUUCGUGGAGCCAAAUGUGAGUGCACUACCUCAAAAUGCCAGCAGUGGAAGCUGGUAAGCAAGUGGGGGAAAAUCACCAAAGGAAUCUGGAGCUUGGGACAAAGGUAGAAAACACAUCAGUACUGCACUAACAAAGCAGCAGGUACCCUCAUAGAGGAGAUAAAAUUACAGGUAAGGAAAUAAUUUAUGUUUCUAUUUUGAUUUCAUCCAAAUGGCUUGUUAUUCUUCAUUCAGAAUCCCUAGAAAAAUAACACACCUGGGGAUAACACAUUACUAGGGAUAAUUUGAAGUUCAAUCUUAGACAGUUUCUGGAAAAAUAUAUCAGAAGGUGAAAAUCCAUUUUAGCUAAUAGGUAAUUUAAAAACUCAACCUAGUUUAAAAUAAUGACUUCCUUUUUGUUUUGUUAGCAUAUUGGACUCGUAGCUCGUUGGUAGAGGUUUCACUUUCCAAUCAAGAAUAAUAGUAGGUUAUUUAGAUUAGUGCUGUAAGUUUGAAUGAAAGACAAAAGGACUCUGCUUUUCCCUUUACUUUCUCAGAGUUAGCAGGGUAGUAUGACUCUAUAAUCCUUCAGAUUGACUUGUUGUAAAAAGGACUGAGGUUAUUUUUGUCUUCCUUUUGUGACUAUUAGAUGGUGUAAAACAGAAGAAAAUUACAUUUUUUUAAUUAAUUGUCUUGCAGUCUUUUAUGUCAUCAUGCUGCAGUCCCACUGUGGAGUUGUGAUCACCUCCAAAAACCACAAGAGGAUUUAUCCUUGUCUGAAUUACUACAGUUAUUAUCUGUUACAGAAAGUAAAAUAAGGCAAACGUGUAAAACUCUUCAAGUCCGAAUGGAGAAGUAGAGAAAGGAGGUUUCUGCUGUGCCUGAUGACAAUUUAUGAUUUUUCCACACAUACUAAAUAAUCUGGCUCCACGUUGGAGCACUAGUUGUGAUGAAUCCUAGUCAUGGUCGGAUUCUAAGGAAGGGCCAGAACGUUCGUUGAGGAAUAAAGAGUCAAACCACUCCAGAAAAUGUGUUCCAGCCCUGGUUUAUUACUCACAGAGCAGCAGGUAACCCGAUAGCUAAAGACAAAUCAAGUCGGUCUCAAGGCUGAUAACGUUAAAUACAACACAUAGGAAUUUCAUUUCUCCAGGCAAUCCUUGAAGUGAAAUUUUGUACUGCUGGGGUGUAGCCUUCAGAAUCAAUUGUUUCAAUGAGAACCUGGUUUGUAAUCAACAACAGCCUUGAGAUCAAAACUACUGAAGAGUUAUUUUGAACUUCUGUGUCACAAAGAUUUCAACUGAGUGAACUGUGUACACUUGUAAAAUUGCACUUGCAGAGGAAUUUGCAGCUGUAAUCUCAAGAGAUGGUUUUUGAAAGGUGCAGAAAAUCAGCAAUCAUUCGGAUUCUUCUUUCCAGACUGGUGGCAUUUCAUCCUGAUGAAGUCACUCUCCAAAAUGUAUUGGUUCCUCCCCACUAAAAUGAUCCCUGGUCCACAUUCCGAUUGCUGGUGGGACUGCACACUGCUUUAAUUAAAUUUCCAUUGCAGAAAUUGUCCUCUGGCAUGGCACAAUUUUAGACAUUUUUAUUUGUAAUCUAAUCUUGGAGCUCUAAAGGGUACAUAUUUCAACAUCUUGAAGUUGCUUUUGUUAUAGGAAUGGAAAUAUAUACCCAUUGUUAAUAAUUAUUGUUGACAAGUAAUAGUUAUCUGAAUACAUCAGUCAUAUUAGAAUGUAUAGUCGGGUUGACAUGUUUCCCUAAGGCUAACCAACUACUGCAGCUAUUUGGCAGUUAAAAAAAGUAGUGGUCAAAACUCAAUUACCACUUCCAUUAUAAAGCAUUUUAUACCUUUAAGAUAUAUAUUUCAAUUUACUUUGAAGGAGGCAAGUGUUCCUGCACUUUACUUUCCCAACCUUUAAAUCACUGAAAUUCAUGGUAAGCAGUCAAGGAAAGUGUUUCAUCCAUUUUUAUAAAUGUAGGCAGGGAUGUAAAUGAGUUUUUCAAUUAUGAAAUUGGGUGGUAAUCAUUCAGAAUUUUUCUCUUUUCAGUGAAAAAUAAAAUCUCUUGCUUGAAACUAAGUACUGUUGGAUGCUUAUGUAGAUGUCUGCUCAGACUGAUUGCUAUAAAGGAAAAAUGUCCUAGUGCCCUCCUAGAUAUAGGGUUCAUGAGUAUUUUGCUUGCUUACUGUCCUCAAAUUCAAACCUAAUCUGUGCCAAAAUCACAUUUUCUUUAUUUAAUUUUCUAUUUCAGUAGCAAUUUUUUGAACCUUGUGCUGUGCUGUUACAUGAAAAAACCUCCAUAUUUAAAGGCCUUAAGCAUCUAUGAACUUUUUUCUAAGUUAUCACAGAAUGUAUAAUUUUAUACUUCAUUUAGUGUAUAUUGUGCCAUCUGUAAUAUUGAUACAACAAAAAUUUGGCAAUUCCUUUUAAUGACACUACAUAAGCAUGCUAACUGAGAGUGAGAGAGUUCUGACUGUAUGCUUUGGUGCAUUAAAUGAUAAGCACACACACUUAAUGAUAGGCAAAAAAUAUAUAGGAUGAAGCUUAUUUAGAAGUCCUGUGUGGUUACCAAGCUCUCUGAAAAAAAGAUGGAAAUGAUUUUUUCAUUACAAGCUAUUGACAUGGCAAGGUAGUUAUAUAUAAAGUUCCAUGAUGGUUGCAUACCUUGGAGGGAUCUGCCUGUCACGCUAUCCCCGGCUGCUCCAAAACCAUUUCAUUACCUCUGUUGUGUUACUGCACAGGAGAUCUUAAACAAAAUAAAUGAUUGUUGGGAAUAAAAUUGAGAAAUAUCUUCUAUCAUUCUGCUGAGAAAUAAUAAAAAAUGUUGGCAGGGAAAAAUAUUCUUUUCUGAUUGAAAUUUAAUUAGGAUAAACUGUAGCAGCAAUUAGGUAUCUCGGUAUUUUAGGAUGGAUUAGUAAUGAAUGGAUUUGUGCUAAUGGAUGAUGUGCUAAUUCAGGAUGGAAGGUAGCAUCUUAAAAAGACUGGGACAGUGCAAAGUAUUAAUGUGGUGUUUUGUAAAAUCUGAACUGUCUUUGGUCGAAAGUCUGCAUCAUGCUUCUCAAUAUCGUUUUAUUUGUUCCUUUGUUCUUAAACCAACACUGAAAAUACUGUAUUAUAUACAAGUGUAACACAUGCAUAUCAAUAAGUGAAAAUAAAUGGAUUUUCAAAUAUACCGA
This is an RNA transcript of Lagopus muta (rock ptarmigan), 4506 nucleotides long. It is a transcript of the gene named TAFA chemokine like family member 2, with no coding region annotated. NCBI's taxonomy places the organism in Eukaryota, Metazoa, Chordata, Aves, Galliformes, Phasianidae. The record is from RefSeq and is a predicted model, not a curated record. The transcript has 7 exons.